GAUGAAGAACGUAGCGAAAUGCGAUAAGUAAUGUGAAUUGCAGAAUUCAGUGAAUCAUCGAAUCUUUGAACGCACAUUGCGCCCGCCAGUAUUCUGGCGGGCAUGCCUGUUCGAGCGUCAUUUCAACCAUCAAGCCCCAGGCUUGUGUUGGGGACCUGCGGCUGCCGCAGGCCCUGAAAACCAGUGGCGGGCUCGCUGUCACACCGGGCGUAGUAGAUUUUAUCUCGCUCAGGGCGUGCUGCGGGUUCCGGCCGUUAAAAGCCUUUUUUACCCAAGGUUGACCUCGGAUCAGGUAGGAAUACCCGCUGAACUUAAGCAUAUCAAUAAGCGGAGGA
RNAcentral lists this unclassified non-coding RNA (335 nucleotides) under soil metagenome. RNAcentral's name for it is "partial contains 5.8S ribosomal RNA, internal transcribed spacer 2, and large subunit ribosomal RNA". The stretch from base 1 to 120 matches the Rfam family "5.8S ribosomal RNA", at positions 35 to 154 of the family's 154-position model. The record is from RNAcentral.